Canis lupus familiaris (dog) is the source of this 436-nucleotide long non-coding RNA. RefSeq lists it as uncharacterized. The record is from RefSeq and is a predicted model, not a curated record. The transcript has 3 exons. NCBI's taxonomy places the organism in Eukaryota, Metazoa, Chordata, Mammalia, Carnivora, Canidae.
CAGAGACUGCUCUUUAGGGAGGAGAAAAGAGUAAUAAGAAGAUGAUUUUACACACUAAAGGACAUGAAGAAAAUGAGCAGGCUGUGUGACAGGGAGGGGACUGAAUGUGGUAUGGAGGUCAAGGAAGCCCUCUCUAAACAGAUGACACUUGGAGCCUGAAGGAUAAAAAAGAUGCCAUCUUUGGGCAAAACCCAGCUGCCAUGCCAUGGGAAGCCCAUACCACCUUGAGAGACCCAGUGAAGGUGGAGUCAAGUCAACAGCCCGGCCAGAACAGCUGAGAAGCCCUGGAUCAAGGGGAGCCAUCCACAGGCUCUGGAAUGAAGUCAAAUGGAGCAUCCUGAACCCAACCAGAAGCCUACCCCAGCCAAGCCCAGGCAAGCCUACUCAAGAUCAGCCAACUACAGCAGACCUCCUGCCUCAGGGGUAUGAAAUAAAG